GACGAACGCUGGCGGCGUGCUUAACACAUGCAAGUCGAACGGUGAAGCGCUUGCCUUUUUGGUGGGUGUGGAUGAGUGGCGAACGGGUGAGUAACACGUGAGUAACCUGCCCUCUUCUUCUGGAUAACCUCAUGAAAGUGGGGCUAAUACGGGGUAUUCCGGGUCUGUCGCAUGGCGGGUUUGGGAAAGAUUGCGCCUUUGGGUGUUUUCGGUGGGGGAUGGGCUCGCGGCCUAUCAGCUUGUUGGUGGGGUGAUGGCCUACCAAGGCGGUGACGGGUAGCCGGCCUGAGAGGGUGGACGGCCACACUGGGACUGGGACACGGCCCAGACUCCUGCGGGAGGCAGCAGUGGGGAAUAUGGCACAAUGGGCGCAAGCCUGAUGCAGCGACGCCGCGUGAGGGAUGGAGGCCUUCGGGUUGUGAACCUCUUUCGCCAGUGAAGCAGGCCUGCUCCUGUGUGGGUGGGUUGACGGUAGCUGGAUAAGAAGCGCCGGCUAACUACGUG
Molecule: ribosomal RNA, 504 nt
Filed under: uncultured bacterium
Lineage: Bacteria
Description: partial 16S ribosomal RNA
Rfam family: Bacterial small subunit ribosomal RNA
Source: RNAcentral